CCUACGAGGAGCAGCAGUGAGGAAUAUUGGUCAAUGGACGAGAGUCUGAACCAGCCAAGUAGCGUGAAGGAUGACUGCCCUAUGGGUUGUAAACUUCUUUUAUAUGGGAAUAAAACAGGGUAUGCAUACCCUCUUGUAUGUACCAUAUGAAUAAGGAUCGGCUAACUCCGUGCAAGCAGCCGCGGUAAUACGGAGGAUCCGAGCGUUAUCCGGAUUUAUUGGGUUUAAAGGGAGCGUAGGUGGAUUGUUAAGUCAGUUGUGAAAGUUUGCGGCUCAACCGUAAAAUUGCAGUUGAAACUGGCAGUCUUGAGUACAGUAGAGGUGGGCGGAAUUCGUGGUGUAGCGGUGAAAUGCUUAGAUAUCACGAAGAACUCCGAUUGCGAAGGCAGCUCACUGGACUGCAACUGACACUGAUGCUCGAAAGUGUGGGUAUCAAACAGGAGUAGAUACCCCAGUAGUC
RNAcentral lists this ribosomal RNA (460 nucleotides) under uncultured bacterium. RNAcentral describes it as "partial 16S ribosomal RNA". It matches the Rfam family "Bacterial small subunit ribosomal RNA", at positions 338 to 795 of the family's 1533-position model. The record is from RNAcentral.